UACGUAGGCGGAAAAUUAAGUCAGUAGUGAAAUCCUGCAGCUUAACUGUAGAACUGUUAUUGAUACUGGUUUUCUUGAAUGUAGUUGAGGUAGGCGGAACAUGUAAUGUAGCGGUGAAAUGCUUAGAUAUUACAUAGAACACCGAUUGCGAAGGCAGCUUACUAAGCUACGAUUGACGCUGAGGUACGAAAGCGUGGGGAGCGAACAGGAUUAGAUACCCUGGUAGUCC
Molecule: ribosomal RNA, 229 nt
Filed under: uncultured bacterium
Lineage: Bacteria
Description: partial 16S ribosomal RNA
Rfam family: Bacterial small subunit ribosomal RNA
Source: RNAcentral